UACAGAGGGUGCAAGCGUUGUUCGGAAUUAUUGGGCGUAAAGGGCGCGUAGGCGGUGCGGUAAGUCUGUAGUGAAAUCUCUGGGCUCAACUCAGAGUCUGCUGCAGAAACUGCCGUGCUUGAGUGUGGGAGAGGUGAGUGGAAUUCCCGGUGUAGCGGUGAAAUGCGUAGAUAUCUGGAGGAACACCGGUGGCGAAGGCGGCAUCCUGGACCGGCAUUGACGCUGAGGAGCGAAAGCCAGGGGAGCAAACGGG
This 253-nucleotide ribosomal RNA is filed under the name uncultured bacterium. Its description in RNAcentral is "partial 16S ribosomal RNA". It matches the Rfam family "Bacterial small subunit ribosomal RNA", at positions 524 to 776 of the family's 1533-position model. The record is from RNAcentral.